GACGAACGCUGGCGGCGUGCUUAACACAUGCAAGUCGAACGGAAAGGCCUGCUUUCCCUUGUGGAUUGCGGGUACUCGAGUGGCGAACGGGUGAGUAACACGUGAGUGAUCUGCCCCCAACUUGGGUAUAAGCCUGGGAAACUGGGUCUAAUUCCCGAUAGGACUGCAGGGUGGUGCCUGUGGUGGAAAACGAUUUUCUAGUGGUUGGGGAUGAGCUCGCGGCCUAUCGGCUUGUUGGUGGGGUAAUGGCCUACCAAGGCGGCGACGGGUAGCCGGCCUGAGAGGGUGGACGGCCACAUUGGGACUGAGAUACGGCCCAGACUCCUACGGGAGGCAGCAGUGGGGAAUAUUGCACAAUGGGCGGAAGCCUGAUGCAGCGACGCCGCGUGGGGGAUGACGGCCUUCGGGUUGUAAACUCCUUUCGACCGCGAGGAAGCCACCUGGUUGGAAGGGUGGUGACGGUAGUGGUAGAAGAAGCACCGGCUAACUACGU
RNAcentral lists this ribosomal RNA (493 nucleotides) under uncultured bacterium. RNAcentral's name for it is "partial 16S ribosomal RNA". It matches the Rfam family "Bacterial small subunit ribosomal RNA", at positions 28 to 506 of the family's 1533-position model. The record is from RNAcentral.